CUUUGUAGGAACUCGAUUAGUCAGAUUACUGGGCCAAAGGCGUACCUGCCAGACUCGGAGGACAUGCGG
This is a long non-coding RNA of Hippocampus comes (tiger tail seahorse), 69 nucleotides long. RefSeq lists it as uncharacterized. Lineage: Eukaryota; Metazoa; Chordata; Actinopteri; Syngnathiformes; Syngnathidae. The transcript is spliced from 3 exons. The record is from RefSeq and is a predicted model, not a curated record.